RNAcentral lists this long non-coding RNA (1527 nucleotides) under Numida meleagris (helmeted guineafowl). Its description in RNAcentral is "lncRNA (ENSNMEG00000006612.1)". Lineage: Eukaryota; Metazoa; Chordata; Aves; Galliformes; Numididae. The record is from RNAcentral.
CAAAUGCAGAAGACUUUUGGGAUCAGUUGCUUCAAGUCACAUGAGAGAAUGGACUAGGAGCUUAUUUAGAAAAGUGCUUUUUAAAAGUUAUUCAAAUUUAGAGUUCCCAGCCGAUGUGGCAGAAAGCAAAGGACGUCAGCAAAUCUUAUUAAUAUGCUGAUGCUACAGCUUCAGAAGUGUACAGAAUGCCCAUUUGGAUCAGGGCUAAGAGCACAGCAUGGAGUUGCUAUGGAGACGUGGGGAGGCCAUUAAUUAGCUCUCACAUGAAAUCAUCAAGAAGAGUCCGGACCACAGAAGCUCUGCCCUCCUUGGAAGCCAAGGGCACGGCCCUGCUGACCCCCAGCCUCCCCUCUGCAGCUCCAGCAGCAGUGUCCUGCAGCAGACAUGUCCUGCAAGCAUCAGAGGUAGGUGCACAAGGAGUAAGGGGAAGGUGAUGAUAAGGGUAAACAAAAGAUGGAUGUUGUUCCCUCUCUUAUUUUCCUCCUCUCAGAAAGCCUGUUUGCUGUUGCAGAAAAGAACACAAGAGAUGUGCUGCUUUUGGGGCCAAUGGGACUCAUGACCGUGACCUCAAAAAAAUCAGGGCUGGCCACAAGGCUCUGAUAAGCUCAGCUAGAGGGGUCAGUGUCUGCCUGGGUGAGCUGCACCCGAGAACGCCAAUGGUUCUUGGUGCUAUCCUGCUCCUCUGAGCAAUUUCUGGCCAUGCAAACCAGCGUUUCCCUUCCCCUAAGGGAAACACGGGCAAAGAAGGGAGGUUUGUUGGCCACGUGCCCAGCCUCCCCAGAGAGCCAGAUCCACCUCCAGCCCAGGCUGUGCGUGCAUGUUCCCGUGACAGCUGUGACGGACUUCAGCUGCCAUGCACAGGAUGUUCUUUUUAGCCCACUUGCUAAAACACCACUCAGGAGGACAUUUGGCAGAUGGCAUCUCCUGCACUAGAGCACACUGCAAGAUCCCCAGCCUGACUGCUCAGCUCUCAGCGCUGAGUGGCAACCCAGACUGUGCACUCCAGGCUCCAGCUAAAGCACUUUCCUCAAUCUUGUUGAAAGGAAAAAAGGCACAAGGUUCAUGUGCUGCAAGUUCUUGUCUGAAAGCAGAGACAGAGGAAGUGGAGAUAGCAGCUGGGUGUCAGGGGAGAGGCACGAGGGAGACAAGACAGGAGAUACUGCAUACGGAGGUCAUGAACAAGACAUUUCCACAUUCCUUCCAGCCUGGAGGGUUUGAAAUGGACCUGCUGGACCCAGACAGAUCAUGGCUUGGAUGAAAGCCCGUUGAAGACAACUGGAAUUUUCUUACUGACUUCUGGAAGAUACUGUUGAAAGCGGGAAACACUAAGGAUAACACAACUUAGCUGCAGCUUUCCGCCUGGGGUUUGGUGAUGGGCUAAGUGACUUCAACUUAUCCUCCCAAUAGGCUUUAGUUUCUCUGACUCUAUGAAACUUGAGAAAUCCAUCUCAGCACCAUUUUGAAGGACAAAGAUCUGCUGAUCCCAGGAGGAAGCACAAAAUGGCCCUUUGAAAGGGUCAUCUACUG